This is a non-coding RNA of Paramuricea clavata, 888 nucleotides long. NCBI's taxonomy places the organism in Eukaryota, Metazoa, Cnidaria, Anthozoa, Malacalcyonacea, Plexauridae. The record is from the annotation of a GenBank genome assembly.
GCACAGGAGGAUUUCUCGAAGACGAAGUAUGGUCCAUUACACCAAGAAACACUGACAUAUAAUUGCCAAACAGCUAUACCUUGGUUUAACGUAGACAUCUCGAGGAAAAACUGCAUUCUUUUAUGAUUUUUGUGGCGGUUUUUCUUUAUUUUUUUGCUUAUGUUUCACUGUUUUCUAGUGUUUUGAAUAAAAUUCCCGCCUAUUUGCAAAAUACGAGUCCACAAUCGUGUUGAAAAUGUUGUCAGCGGUCGUUACUCGCUGCUUACUUGAUGUAAUUUUCUGUUUAAACGCCCCACGCAAUCCACACGCACAGUUAACUACGUGAUUAGUUAACUAUCCGACUAACUACGUUUUGUGCAACGCAGUUAAGUCAUGUAGUUAACUAAUUACAGUUAAGGAUUUAACUACAGUGAUUAACGCUAACUACAGUUAGCGCUAAUUACGUUUUUAUACAACCGGCCCCAGAAAGUAUACUAAUUGAUUGUUACUGUAGAAACCGUCUACAUGCCGUAUAGAGUAUCCUGCAUCAAAUAAUGAGCGCGCAGAAAUAGCUACAUAAGAGCGCCCUGGGCUACAGGCUAAGGUGGUUCGAAUAAAGAUCACACAAACUCGGUUAUCAGAACUGCUAUUUAUAUAUCAAAAAUAUAGUUGUUACUGGUUUACUGUUUACAGUGAUAAUUGCUUUUUCAAAGCUCCAGAAUUUGAUGAAAUUUUUUGAGUACGGAACAAAUAUACAGUAUAUAUAUAUAGUCUAUGUUUAAGAGUGCACGAAUAUAUUUACAACUAUAGACAGAUUGAUUCUAAACUGUGGUAACCAGAGUGGCGCGCGUAUGCAACGAUUGCACGCCCUCUAGUUCACUACAAGGAUGUUUCAGAGAGUUCGACGAC